AAUGACUGAGCGGCGAACGGGUGAGUAACGCGUGAGCAAUCUACCUUAGUUACAGGGAUAGCCCGAGGAAACUCGGAUUAAUACCUGAUAUUCUUUAUUUCUCGCAUGAGAAUAAAAGGAAAGGUCAGCCGAACUAAGAUGAGCUCGCGUUCUAUCAGCUAGUUGGUGAGGUAAAAGCUUACCAAGGCUACGACGGAUAGCUGGUCUGAGAGGACGAUCAGCCACACUGGGACUGAGACACGGCCCAGACUCCUACGGGAGGCUGCAGCAGGGAAUAUUGUGCAAUGAACGAAAGUUUGACACAGCGACACCGCGUGUGGGAUGACGGAUCUAGGUUUGUAAACCACUUUCAGGAGGGAAGAAAAUGACGGUACCUCCACAAGAAGCCCCGGCCAACUACGUGCCAGCAGCCGCGGUAAUACGUAGGGGGCGAGCGUUGUCCGGAUUUAUUGGGCGUAAAGAGCUCGUAGGCGGUUCAACAAGUCGGUCGUGAAAGUUCAGGGCUCAACCCUGAAAUGUCGAUCGAUACUGUUGUGACUAGGAUACGGUAGAGGUGAGUGGAAUUCCGAGUGUAGCGGUGAAAUGCGUAGAUAUUCGGAGGAACACCAAUUGCGAAGGCAGCUCACUGGGCCGCUAUCGACGCUGAGGAGCGAAAGCUAGGGGAGCAAACAGGAUUAGAUACCCUGGUAGUCCUAGCUGUAAACGAUGGAUACUAGAUGUAGGAACUGGAUUGACGGUUUCUGUAUCGCAGCUAACGCGUUAAGUAUCCCGCCUGGGGAGUACGGUCGCAAGACUAAAACUCAAAGGAAUUGACGGGACCCCGCACAAGCGGCGGAGCAUGCGGCUUAAUUCGAUGAUACCCG
RNAcentral lists this ribosomal RNA (863 nucleotides) under marine metagenome. RNAcentral's name for it is "bacterial SSU rRNA". It matches the Rfam family "Bacterial small subunit ribosomal RNA", at positions 86 to 963 of the family's 1533-position model. The record is from RNAcentral.